This 593-nucleotide ribosomal RNA is filed under the name Pantoea sp. Its description in RNAcentral is "bacterial SSU rRNA". It matches the Rfam family "Bacterial small subunit ribosomal RNA", at positions 121 to 710 of the family's 1533-position model. The record is from RNAcentral. Lineage: Bacteria; Pseudomonadati; Pseudomonadota; Gammaproteobacteria; Enterobacterales; Erwiniaceae.
GGAUCUGCCCGAUAGAGGGGGAUAACCACUGGAAACGGUGGCUAAUACCGCAUAACGUCGCAAGACCAAAGAGGGGGACCUUCGGGCCUCUCACUAUCGGAUGAACCCAGAUGGGAUUAGCUAGUAGGCGGGGUAACGGCCCACCUAGGCGACGAUCCCUAGCUGGUCUGAGAGGAUGACCAGCCACACUGGAACUGAGACACGGUCCAGACUCCUACGGGAGGCAGCAGUGGGGAAUAUUGCACAAUGGGCGCAAGCCUGAUGCAGCCAUGCCGCGUGUAUGAAGAAGGCCUUCGGGUUGUAAAGUACUUUCAGCGGGGAGGAAGGCAGUGAGGUUAAUAACCUUACUGAUUGACGUUACCCGCAGAAGAAGCACCGGCUAACUCCGUGCCAGCAGCCGCGGUAAUACGGAGGGUGCAAGCGUUAAUCGGAAUUACUGGGCGUAAAGCGCACGCAGGCGGUCUGUUAAGUCAGAUGUGAAAUCCCCGGGCUUAACCUGGGAACUGCAUUUGAAACUGGCAGGCUUGAGUCUCGUAGAGGGGGGUAGAAUUCCAGGUGUAGCGGUGAAAUGCGUAGAGAUCUGGAGGAAUACC